UGCAGCUCUGGUGGAAAAUGGA
This 22-nucleotide microRNA is filed under the name Gorilla gorilla (western gorilla). Its description in RNAcentral is "ggo-miR-4660". Lineage: Eukaryota; Metazoa; Chordata; Mammalia; Primates; Hominidae. RNAcentral also lists the same sequence under 2 other names. The record is from miRBase by way of RNAcentral.